This 256-nucleotide ribosomal RNA is filed under the name uncultured bacterium. Its description in RNAcentral is "partial 16S ribosomal RNA". The stretch from base 31 to 256 matches the Rfam family "Bacterial small subunit ribosomal RNA", at positions 567 to 794 of the family's 1533-position model. The record is from RNAcentral.
UACGAGAUCAGCGUAUCGAUCAGUGGUUAAGGUCGUAGCGCUAUAAGUCAGUGUGAAAGCCCAUCGCUCAACGAUGGAACUGGCCAUUGAUACGUGUAAAGGCUUGAAUUAUUGUGAAGUAACUAGAAUAUGUAGUGUAGCGGUGAAAUGCUUAGAUAUUACAUGGAAUACCAAUUGCGAAGGCAGGUUACUAACAAUGGAUUGACGCUGAUGGACGAAAGCGUGGGGAGCGAACAGGAUUAGAUACCCGGGUAGU